This 220-nucleotide unclassified non-coding RNA is filed under the name Hevea brasiliensis (rubber tree). The record is from RNAcentral. Lineage: Eukaryota; Viridiplantae; Streptophyta; Magnoliopsida; Malpighiales; Euphorbiaceae.
AGCACAAUCAGUUGAUUUUUUAGAGAACAAUGCAUCUGGGAUUAUAAUGGCUGAACUAGCAGUAUCACAAUAGUCAAGUCAUACAAGCUUCAUUACUCUACUAUACAAACUAAUUCUACUCGUUAAGUCUAGAUCAAAAAUCAAAACUUAAACCCUAGUUAUUGGGGCUAAAUUGACAUAUAACAACAAAAGACCAUCCCUACUAACGGAUCUAAAUAAG